AGGGUCACAAGCCAUCUUGGUUUGCCAGGGACUGAGGGGUUUCCCAAGACACGGGACAUUCAGUACUAAAACUGG
This 75-nucleotide microRNA precursor is filed under the name Pteropus vampyrus (large flying fox). RNAcentral describes it as "miRNA (ENSPVAG00000030061.1)". The record is from RNAcentral. Lineage: Eukaryota; Metazoa; Chordata; Mammalia; Chiroptera; Pteropodidae.